Molecule: ribosomal RNA, 393 nt
Filed under: uncultured bacterium
Lineage: Bacteria
Description: bacterial SSU rRNA
Rfam family: Bacterial small subunit ribosomal RNA
Source: RNAcentral
GUGCCAGCAGCCGCGGUAAUACGUAGGGUGCGAGCGUUAAUCGGAAUUACUGGGCGUAAAGGGUGCGCAGGCGGUUGAGUAAGACAGAUGUGAAAUCCCCGAGCUUAACUCGGGAAUGGCAUAUGUGACUGCUCGACUAGAGUGUGUCAGAGGGAGGUGGAAUUCCACGUGUAGCAGUGAAAUGCGUAGAUAUGUGGAAGAACACCGAUGGCGAAGGCAGCCUCCUGGGACAUAACUGACGCUCAGGCACGAAAGCGUGGGGAGCAAACAGGAUUAGAUACCCUGGUAGUCCACGCCCUAAACGAUGUUAACUAGUUGUUGGGAAGUAAAAUUCUCAGUAACGCAGCCAACGCGAGAAGUUAACCGCCUGGGAAGUACGGUCGCAAGACUAAA